RNAcentral lists this ribosomal RNA (518 nucleotides) under uncultured bacterium. RNAcentral describes it as "partial 16S ribosomal RNA". It matches the Rfam family "Bacterial small subunit ribosomal RNA", at positions 355 to 864 of the family's 1533-position model. The record is from RNAcentral.
UGGGGAAUUUUGGACAAUGGGCGAAAGCCUGAUCCAGCAAUGCCGCGUGUGUGAAGAAGGCCUUCGGGUUGUAAAGCACUUUUGUCCGGAAAGAAAUGGCUCUGGUUAAUACCUGGGGUCGAUGACGGUACCGGAAGAAUAAGGACCGGCUAACUACGUGCCAGCAGCCGCGGUAAUACGUAGGGUCCAAGCGUUAAUCGGAAUUACUGGGCGUAAAGCGUGCGCAGGCGGUUGUGCAAGACCGAUGUGAAAUCCCCGAGCUUAACUUGGGAAUUGCAUUGGUGACUGCACGGCUAGAGUGUGUCAGAGGGGGGUAGAAUUCCACGUGUAGCAGUGAAAUGCGUAGAGAUGUGGAGGAAUACCGAUGGCGAAGGCAGCCCCCUGGGAUAACACUGACGCUCAUGCACGAAAGCGUGGGGAGCAAACAGGAUUAGAUACCCUGGUAGUCCACGCCCUAAAACCGAUGUCAACUAGUUGUUGGGGAUUCAUUUCCUUAGUAACGUAGCUAACGCGUGAAG